GCAGUGGGGAAUAUUGGACAAUGGGCGCAAGCCUGAUCCAGCCAUGCCGCGUGUGUGAUGAAGGCCUUAGGGUUGUAAAGCACUUUCACCGGAGAAGAUAAUGACGGUAUCCGGAGAAGAAGCCCCGGCUAACUUCGUGCCAGCAGCCGCGGUAAUACGAAGGGGGCUAGCGUUGUUCGGAAUUACUGGGCGUAAAGCGCACGUAGGCGGAUAUUUAAGUCAGGGGUGAAAUCCCAGAGCUCAACUCUGGAACUGCCUUUGAUACUGGGUAUCUUGAGUAUGGAAGAGGUAAGUGGAAUUGCGAGUGUAGAGGUGAAAUUCGUAGAUAUUCGCAGGAACACCAGUGGCGAAGGCGGCUUACUGGUCCAUAACUGACGCUGAGGUGCGAAAGCGUGGGGAGCAAACAGGAUUAGA
RNAcentral lists this ribosomal RNA (414 nucleotides) under uncultured bacterium. RNAcentral describes it as "bacterial SSU rRNA". It matches the Rfam family "Bacterial small subunit ribosomal RNA", at positions 351 to 782 of the family's 1533-position model. The record is from RNAcentral.